UCUACGGGCGGCAGCAGUGAGGAAUAUUGGUCAAUGGGCGGGAGCCUGAACCAGCCAAGUCGCGUGAGGGAAGACGGUCCUACGGAUUGUAAACCUCUUUUGCCGGGGAGCAACGGGGUCCUUGCGAGGGCCCAAUGAGAGUACCCGGAGAAAAAGCAUCGGCUAACUCCGUGCCAGCAGCCGCGGUAAUACGGAGGAUGCGAGCGUGAUCAGGAUUUAUUGGGGUUAAAGGGUGCGUAGGCGGGCUGUUAUGUCAGCGGUCAAAUGUCGGGGAUCAACCCCGGCCUGCCGUUGAUACUGGCGGCCUCGAGUGGGCGAGAGGUAUGCGGAAGGCGUGGUGUAGCGGUGAAGUGCAUAGAUAUCACGCAGAACUCCGGUUGCGAAGGCAGCAUACCGGCGCCCUACUGACGCUGAGGCACGAAAGCGUGGGUAUCGAACAGGAUUAGAUACCCCUGUAGUC
Molecule: ribosomal RNA, 460 nt
Filed under: uncultured bacterium
Lineage: Bacteria
Description: partial 16S ribosomal RNA
Rfam family: Bacterial small subunit ribosomal RNA
Source: RNAcentral